RNAcentral lists this ribosomal RNA (390 nucleotides) under uncultured bacterium. Its description in RNAcentral is "bacterial SSU rRNA". It matches the Rfam family "Bacterial small subunit ribosomal RNA", at positions 28 to 417 of the family's 1533-position model. The record is from RNAcentral.
GACGAACGCUGGCGGCGUGCUUAACACAUGCAAGUCGAGCGGUAAGGCCCUUUCGGGGGUACGACGAGCGGCGAACGGGUGAGUAACACGUGGGUGACCUGCCCUUACGCUCUGGGAUAAGCCUGGGAAACUGGGUCUAAUACCGGAUAUGACUCCAUGACGCAUGUUGUGGGGUGGAAAGCCUUGUGCGGCUAGGGAUGGGCCCGCGGCCUAUCAGCUUGUUGGUGGGGUGAUGGCCUACCAAGGCGACGACGGGUAGCCGGCCUGAGAGGGCGACCGGCCACACUGGGACUGAGACACGGCCCAGGCUCCUACGGGAGGCAGCAGUGGGGAAUCUUGCGCAAUGGGCGAAAGCCUGACGCAGCGACGCCGCGUGAGGGAUGACGGCCU